UGUAGGGCCGCCAUUUUGCACCAGGCUUCCUGAUCGGAGGUGUGUGGCACGAGGUCUCUCCACGCGGUGCCUGUGUAGUGGGCCGACUAGACUCAGCACAGGGGAAACAAGGUGAGGGCUCAGUGGGAAGAUGAGGACAAGAGCUCAUGUGACACUGGAUCUGCCGGACCUUGAUUCUGGAUAUCCAGCCCCCAGAGCUGUGAGAAGCAUUUCUUGAGGGUCUACUGUGCUAUGCUUGGUGGUUCAGAUGGUAAAGAAUCUGCAUGCAAUGCAAGAGACCCGGGUUUGAUCCCUGGGUCAGGAAGAUCCCC
Odocoileus virginianus texanus is the source of this 311-nucleotide non-coding RNA. Lineage: Eukaryota; Metazoa; Chordata; Mammalia; Artiodactyla; Cervidae. The record is from RefSeq and is a predicted model, not a curated record.